RNAcentral lists this transfer RNA (73 nucleotides) under Homatula potanini. RNAcentral describes it as "tRNA-Asp". It matches the Rfam family "tRNA". From Rfam's summary of the family: Transfer RNA (tRNA) molecules are approximately 80 nucleotides in length. Their secondary structure includes four short double-helical elements and three loops (D, anti-codon, and T loops). RNAcentral also lists the same sequence under 1 other name. The record is from RNAcentral. Lineage: Eukaryota; Metazoa; Chordata; Actinopteri; Cypriniformes; Nemacheilidae.
AAGACAUUAGUAAACUCGCAAAUUACACCACCUUGUCGAGGUGGAAUAGUAGGUUAAACCCCUGCAUGUCUUA